GACAACUCGGGGAAACCCGGGCUAAUACCGCAUAAUCUCUACGGAGGAAAGAGGGCCUCUACUUGUAAGCUCUCGCUAAUGGAUGAGCCCAAGUCAGAUUAGCUAGUUGGUAGGGUAAUGGCUUACCAAGGCUACGAUCUGUAGCUGGUCUGAGAGGAUGAUCAGCCACACUGGGACUGAGACACGGCCCAGACUCCUACGGGAGGCAGCAGUGGGGAAUAUUGCACAAUGGGCGCAAGCCUGAUGCAGCAAUGCCGCGUGUGUGAAGAAGGCUCUAGGGUUGUAAAGCACUUUCAAUAGAGAAGAAAAGCUUGAAGUUAAUACCUUCAAGCCUUGACGUAACCUAUACAAGAAGCACCGGCUAAUUCCGUGCCAGCAGCCGCGGUAAUACGGGAGGUGCGAGCGUUAAUCGGAAUUACUGGGCGUAAAGCGAGCGUACGCUGUUAAAUAAGUCGAAUGUGAAAUCCCCGGGCUUAACCUGGGAACUGCACUCGAAACUAUUUAACUAGAGUAUGGGAGAGGAAAGUAGAAUUUCCGGUGUAGCGGUGAAAUGCGUAGAUAUCGGAAGGGAAUACCAGUGGCGAAGGCGGCUUUCUGGAACAAUACUGACGCUGAUGUUCGAAAGCGUGGGGAGCAAACAGGAUUAGAUA
Molecule: ribosomal RNA, 650 nt
Filed under: uncultured Gammaproteobacteria bacterium
Lineage: Bacteria; Pseudomonadati; Pseudomonadota; Gammaproteobacteria
Description: bacterial SSU rRNA
Rfam family: Bacterial small subunit ribosomal RNA
Source: RNAcentral